RNAcentral lists this ribosomal RNA (253 nucleotides) under uncultured bacterium. RNAcentral describes it as "partial 16S ribosomal RNA". It matches the Rfam family "Bacterial small subunit ribosomal RNA", at positions 524 to 776 of the family's 1533-position model. The record is from RNAcentral.
UACGUAGGGGGCAAGCGUUGUCCGGAAUCAUUGGGCGUAAAGCGCGUGUAGGCGGCUGAGUAAGUCUGCUCUGAAAGCCCGGGGCUCAACCCCGGGAGGCGGGUGGAUACUGCUCAGCUCGAGUCCGGAAGAGGAGUGUGGAAUUCCUGGUGUAGCGGUGAAAUGCGCAGAUAUCAGGAGGAACACCAAUGGCGAAGGCAGCACUCUGGGACGGUACUGACGCUGAGGCACGAAAGCGUGGGGAGCAAACAGG